Molecule: unclassified non-coding RNA, 403 nt
Filed under: soil metagenome
Description: partial contains 5.8S ribosomal RNA, internal transcribed spacer 2, and large subunit ribosomal RNA
Rfam family: 5.8S ribosomal RNA (bases 1-121)
Source: RNAcentral
GAUGAAGAACGUAGCGAAAUGCGAUAAGUAAUGUGAAUUGCAGAAUUCAGUGAAUCAUCGAAUCUUUGAACGCACCUUGCGCCCUUUGGCUAUUCCGAAGGGCAUGCCUGUUUGAGUAUCAUGAACACCUCAACUCUUCACGGCUUGCCGUGAUGAGUUUGGACUUUGGGGGUCUUGCUGGCCUACGAGCCAGCUCCUCUCAAAUGUAUUAGCUUGCCGGUGUUUGGUGGCAUCACAGGAGUGAUAACUAUCUACGCUUGUGGUUUUCCACUAGGUAACCUUCAGCAAUGGAGGUUCACCGGAGCUCACAAAUGUCUCUCCUUGCCAAGGACAGAUUUUGACCAUUUGAUCUCAAAUCAGGUAGGACUACCCGCUGAACUUAAGCAUAUCAAUAAGCGGAGGA